RNAcentral lists this ribosomal RNA (675 nucleotides) under Enterococcus faecalis. RNAcentral describes it as "bacterial SSU rRNA". It matches the Rfam family "Bacterial small subunit ribosomal RNA", at positions 93 to 754 of the family's 1533-position model. Lineage: Bacteria; Bacillati; Bacillota; Bacilli; Lactobacillales; Enterococcaceae. The record is from RNAcentral.
GAGUGGCGGACGGGUGAGUAACACGUGGGUAACCUACCCAUCAGAGGGGGAUAACACUUGGAAACAGGUGCUAAUACCGCAUAACAGUUUAUGCCGCAUGGCAUAAGAGUGAAAGGCGCUUUCGGGUGUCGCUGAUGGAUGGACCCGCGGUGCAUUAGCUAGUUGGUGAGGUAACGGCUCACCAAGGCCACGAUGCAUAGCCGACCUGAGAGGGUGAUCGGCCACACUGGGACUGAGACACGGCCCAGACUCCUACGGGAGGCAGCAGUAGGGAAUCUUCGGCAAUGGACGAAAGUCUGACCGAGCAACGCCGCGUGAGUGAAGAAGGUUUUCGGAUCGUAAAACUCUGUUGUUAGAGAAGAACAAGGACGUUAGUAACUGAACGUCCCCUGACGGUAUCUAACCAGAAAGCCACGGCUAACUACGUGCCAGCAGCCGCGGUAAUACGUAGGUGGCAAGCGUUGUCCGGAUUUAUUGGGCGUAAAGCGAGCGCAGGCGGUUUCUUAAGUCUGAUGUGAAAGCCCCCGGCUCAACCGGGGAGGGUCAUUGGAAACUGGGAGACUUGAGUGCAGAAGAGGAGAGUGGAAUUCCAUGUGUAGCGGUGAAAUGCGUAGAUAUAUGGAGGAACACCAGUGGCGAAGGCGGCUCUCUGGUCUGUAACUGACGCUGAGGCUC